CAGGCAAUCUGCUAUAUCGGGGGUCGGCAACCUUUCAGAAGUGGUGGGACGAAUUUUCAUUUAUUCACUCUAAUUUAAGGUUUUGCGUGCCAGUAAUACAUUUUAACUUUUUUAGAAGGUCUCUUUCUACAAGUCUGUAAUAUAUA
Chelonia mydas (Green sea turtle) is the source of this 146-nucleotide long non-coding RNA. RefSeq lists it as uncharacterized. The transcript has 3 exons. The record is from RefSeq and is a predicted model, not a curated record. Lineage: Eukaryota; Metazoa; Chordata; Testudines; Cheloniidae.